RNAcentral lists this ribosomal RNA (744 nucleotides) under uncultured Lactobacillus sp. RNAcentral's name for it is "bacterial SSU rRNA". It matches the Rfam family "Bacterial small subunit ribosomal RNA", at positions 752 to 1502 of the family's 1533-position model. The record is from RNAcentral. Lineage: Bacteria; Bacillati; Bacillota; Bacilli; Lactobacillales; Lactobacillaceae.
CUCGAAAGUAUGGGUAGCAAACAGGAUUAGAUACCUGGUAGUCCAUACCGUAAACGAUGAAUGCUAAGUGUUGGAGGUUUCCCCUUCAGUGCUGCAGCUAACGCAUUAAGCAUUCCGCUGGGGAGUACGGCCGCAAGGCUGAAACUCAAAGGAAUUGACGGGGGCCCGCACAAGCGGUGGAGCAUGUGGUUUAAUUCGAAGCUACGCGAAGAACCUUACCAGGUCUUGACAUACUAUGCAAAUCUAAGAGAUUAGACGUUCCCUUCGGGGACAUGGAUACAGGUGGUGCAUGGUUGUCGUCAGCUCGUGUCGUGAGAUGUUGGGUUAAGUCCCGCAACGAGCGCAACCCUUAUUAUCAGUCGCCAGCAUUAAGUUGGCACUCUGGUGAGACUGCCGGUGACAAACCGGAGGAAGGUGGGGAUGACGUCAAAUCAUCAUGCCCCUUAUGACCUGGGCUACACACGUGCUACAAUGGAUGGUACAACGAGUUGCGAACUCGCGAGAGUAAGCUAAUCUCUUAAAGCCAUUCUCAGUUCGGAUUGUAGGCUGCAACUCGCCUACAUGAAGUCGGAAUCGCUAGUAAUCGCGGAUCAGCAUGCCGCGGUGAAUACGUUCCCGGGCCUUGUACACACCGCCCGUCACACCAUGAGAGUUUGUAACACCCAAAGUCGGUGGGGUAACCUUUAGGAACCAGCCGCCUAAGGUGGGACAGAUGAUUAGGGUGAAGUCGUAACAAGGUAACCA